GCCUCUGCAUUUUCUGGAAGAUUAUCAACUUUAGGCAUUGGAAGACUCACAAAUUUGAUGAGAGGAGCAACGUUUGGUGGUAGUUGAGGGAGGCGUUGUAUGUUUCUUGGGGUAGAAACAUAGCUAACUUGGUGACCCUUUUGUGCUAUAAGUUUGGCCACUUCAAGGUAUGGGAUCAUGUGACCAAAGGCUAGCCAUGGAAACAUUACUAUGUGAAGUGCCUUUUCUUCAUCCAUGGUGAAAUAAGAUAGAUAGCUACAAUGGAAAAUAUGCCGUUGACUUUUAUAUACUCAAAUGACAAGGUUGUAUGCAUACUUAUUUCCCUAUAAAUUACAGUUCACGCGUCCCACGAGGAAAGAGUUGUCGUAAUAGAAAAUAAAUCAUUAAUUUGGCGGUUUAUCACAUGCAUCCUCUCUAACUCUCUAAAUAAAGUAAUAAAUCUCAGUUGUAGAUACGAGUGCUAAUAAUAAAUCGAAUCAACUCAAAAAUAGUUUGAAAUUUGAUUCGGUAAUUAGUUCGUUAAACUUGGUUCAUGAACCAAAUUUGAGUUGAAAAUUAAGUUCAUUAGAUAAAUGAGUUGAACUUAAACUGCAUAUAUUUUGAUUCGUUUAAUUAAUGAUUCAGCUAGAUAUAUCAUUUCUUACUGUCAGCCAUAAUCUAUUUGUGAUUAGAAAAUUUUGGAUAUUAAAUAAGUAUAUUUUAUCUGUAAUUUAUAAUAUCAUAAUACUGUGAUGAUAUAUUUUUUUUUUUAAAAUGUAACUCAAUUUUAAGAAAAGAGGAGUAAGAAGUAAGUAGACCGCAAAGGAAGUAAAAAGAAAACAAGAGAUUUGCAAAUAGAUAUUUUUUUUUUAACAAGUCAAAAUAGAAUUAUAUUAACAUUAUAUAGUAUUCGUCACAGUAUAAGGCGUACCGAAGAGAACACUAAAAAAUUACAAGCGGUUUAAGAAGUACAUAAAGUGGACUAGCCAAUGCCUAAACACGACAAAGGAUUUGCCCAUCACAAAUGUUCGCCAAAAACAAACGCAGUCUUUUUAGCUUUCAGCUAUCAUAAAGAAUAAGACUUAAUUUUAUAUAAUAGCUGAAAAAUAGAGCUUUCUUUAUUGUUAAACAACCUAUUAUUUUGCUCAUUCCACAAAGUCCAAACAGUAAGGAGCCAAAUAAGCUGAAAGAAAGACCUUCUCGAUUUCAAUCCACUUGUGGAAAAGAUAAUUUGAGUUAAAUGGUCGAUAAUAAAGUGAUGAUAUGCACCUUCAAAACCAAUCCACGACCGCAAUAAAGGCCAAAUGGAGCCAAAAAAUCUGCACGAUAAAAACAAAUGACUCGCGUCCUCCAUCUGACCACAAUCAGACACACAAAGAUGAAAAUAAAUUGAUGAAUUUCUAACCAUUAAACUAUUUGACAAAAAAUAAUAGUAAUUAUUGCUCAAAAUUGAUGAAUUCCCUUAAUUUAAUCUUUAUUAAUAAGAUGUGAAAGAUUAAAUUGAUGAAUUUUUCAUAUACUUUUUUUUAGCAUAGGAUUUUUCAUAUACUUAAAGAUGAAUUAAAUUGACCAAUUUUUUAUACUAUAUAGAUUGUUCAUUAUACUUAUAUAUAGUUUAAGGACCCAACUUUAACUAUUGAAGGACACACCAAACAGGUACUACUUCCACAUCCUACAAAGUCUAAAGUACUCUCUCAAAUCUCAAAUACAUGUAAAAAAUAGUUAAAUAAUUUGAUGUAUGUGGUCGAAAUUUGAAAUAAAUAUACAAACUCUAUUUAACCAAUGUUUUUACUUAUAUAUGAAUCAGAACGACAGUGGUACUGAUUCCCGAUGACUCACCGUGAUUUUACAGAAACUAUAAAGUACAGCUUUUGAAAAUCAUGAUAGAUCAUCAUGAUUCUGGCAUAUCCACCAAAAUAUCAAAAGAUAAACUUAAUCAUUUGAAUCAUUCACACGAAAAUUUAAAAGUCCACUCUUGAAAUAACUUUGCUGAAUAGCAAACCAUAACAUAUUCCCUAACAAUCCGUGUGCUAUCAUCAAAAUCAUUGAAAGUCUUGGCUUACCAAUCUCUUUACUUCUAACAAUAUGUGAACAAGAUUGAAUAUAAAUGAAAGAUAAAGAAAUUUGGUGGACCUUAUUAAUGAAUGCAGUAACAAGGAAGAAGAAAUUACUUAAUUAAAACUAAGGAAUAAUUCUAAGGUGGUCCAACAAGCUAGUAACAUAUCUAUCUUGUCUUUCAGGAUUGACAAACAAAUCCUUCAUGUUCUUAAUAUUAUCCCUAUAGAUCCUUCCCUCUUCUUCAACCAUAACUAACCUAAUCGAGUGAGCCACCAUAUCACUUGUGAAAGACCCAUCUCUCUCAUCUCUAGGCACUGAGUAUCCCAUCUUCUUUUCUUCCAACAUUCUUGCAUUUAUUCCUUGAUCUGCAAGACACGUUAACAACACAAGUGGCUUCUCAUGUUGAACUGCUUCUACCACCGAUGUCCACCCUGCAUGAGUCAAGAAUCCACCAACUGCCACGUGGCUUAAUAUCUUCAUUUGUGGGGCCCAUUCAGUGCAUACCACUCCACGUACUUUGGUUCGUUCUUCAAACCCUUCUGGCAACUGCAACACAACCUUAUCUGUAGGCCCACGUCGUACCCUAAGGACCCAAAAGAAUGGAAGGUUUGACUUCUCCAACCCUAAAGCUAUCUCAUUCACUUCUUCUUGACUUGGUUUUGCUUCACUACCAAAAGCCACAUAUACCACUGUGCCAUUUGGUUUCUUGUCUAACCACUCCUUCAUCCACCACCAUGUGUUGUUUUCGUCGCCGCCCUCAAACUCCGUGCUAAGGAGCUGACCGGCGGGAAGAACUAAUUUGUUGUGAAUAUUUUGGAUCACUUGAAACCACUCAGGUUCAAAUUCGGUACAACCACGAAUCAAAAUGAACUCACUAUUCUUAAUUGAUGAACAAAAGCGAUACGCAUCAGAAAAACCUGAGUCAUUAUUGUCGGAGAGAAUGUCCAUGAUCUUGAUGAUCUCAAAAUAACGGUACGCCACAGUGGUCUUAAAGGGAACCCACGACGGAGAAACAAGAAAGUCCUCCGGCUUUGUUCGAACCGGGUCGUUACCUAAGAGAACUGAACCCGGUCCCAUAAAGCCCAUGAACGGUGGAGUGAAAAUAGAGAAAAAAACACAUUUUAUACCUAAUUGGGGUGCCACAGAACCCAACCAAAAAGGAACAAAAUCAUGCAAAAUCCAAUCAGCAUUAGAAGAUUGAAGGAAAUGAGUUAAAGGUUGUUCAAGUUUGUCAAAGGCAUUUUUCAGGUGUGGUACAACGUCAUAAGGAAUAUCUGUAGUAGCCUCUGCAUUUUCAGGAAGGUUAUCAACUUUUGGCAAUGGAAGGCUCACAAAUUUGAUGAGAGGAGCAACAUUUGGUGGUAGUUUAGGGAGGCGUUGUAUGUUUCUUGGUGUAGAAACAUAACUUACUUGGUGACCCUUUUGUGCUAUAAGCUUGGCUAGUUCAAGAUAUGGAAUCAUGUGACCAAAGGCUAGCCAUGGAAACAUUACUAU
This 3531-nucleotide long non-coding RNA is filed under the name Medicago truncatula (barrel medic). RNAcentral describes it as "long non-coding RNA (MTRU_LNC006374)". The record is from RNAcentral. Lineage: Eukaryota; Viridiplantae; Streptophyta; Magnoliopsida; Fabales; Fabaceae.